RNAcentral lists this ribosomal RNA (460 nucleotides) under uncultured bacterium. Its description in RNAcentral is "partial 16S ribosomal RNA". It matches the Rfam family "Bacterial small subunit ribosomal RNA", at positions 338 to 795 of the family's 1533-position model. The record is from RNAcentral.
CCUACGGGUGGCAGCAGUGAGGAAUAUUUGUCAAUGGACGCAAGUCUGAACCAGCCAUGCCGCGUGCAGGAAGACGGCUCUAUGAGUUGUAAACUGCUUUUGUACGAGAGUAAACGCAGAUACGCGUAUCUGUCUGAAAGUAUCCUACGAAUAAGGAUCGGCUAACUCCGUGCCAGCAGCCGCGGUAAUACGGAGGAUUCAAGCGUUAGCCGGAUUUAUUGGGUGUAAAGUGUGCGUAGGCGGUCGGAUAAGUUAGAGGUGAAAUCCCGAGGCUCAACUUCGGAAUUGCAUCUGAUACUGUUAGGCUAGAGAGUAGUAGCGGUAGGCGGAAUGUAUGGUGUAGCGGUGAAAUGCUUAGAGAUCGUGCAGAACACCGAUUGCGAAGGCAGCUUACCAAGCAACUACUGACGUUGAGGCACGAAAGCGAGGGGAGCAAACAGGAUUAGAUACCCCUGUAGUC